This 72-nucleotide transfer RNA is filed under the name Archaster typicus. Its description in RNAcentral is "tRNA-Ala". It matches the Rfam family "tRNA". From Rfam's summary of the family: Transfer RNA (tRNA) molecules are approximately 80 nucleotides in length. Their secondary structure includes four short double-helical elements and three loops (D, anti-codon, and T loops). Lineage: Eukaryota; Metazoa; Echinodermata; Asteroidea; Valvatida; Archasteridae. The record is from RNAcentral.
GUGAAUUUAGUUUAAGCGAAAAAACACUUGACUUGCAAUCAAAAACCCCGAGUUUAACCCUCGGAAUUUACA